RNAcentral lists this ribosomal RNA (315 nucleotides) under Triticum aestivum (bread wheat). RNAcentral describes it as "partial small subunit ribosomal RNA". Lineage: Eukaryota; Viridiplantae; Streptophyta; Magnoliopsida; Poales; Poaceae. The record is from RNAcentral.
AUGUACAUCAUUGGAUACAUCAUGAGUUACAUUUUCAGAAUGUACAUGUUUGGUAUUGUAGAUGUAGACUGUUUUCUCUAUACACUUGGUCAAAGUUGGCAAAGUUUGACUUCCUCAAAAAUCUAUAGACACUACAUUAUGGAAUGGAGGGAGUAUCACCAGCAGCAGGCAACCAACUGCCACAAGAGUAGGAGCAGUAGGAGUAGCACAAUGCCCGCUGUGAGUAGGAUGGCUACUACCGAAACCAGCCGGCCGCAGAUGAUGUUCAUCUGGAGACUGGAGCGUAUGCAUUGCGACGCCCACGAGUGGAGAUAA